ACCCCCAAGGGGUAAACAAUUACUACAAAAUGAAACAGGGAAAAUAAUGACAAAUAAUCUGGAACACAAGCCAAUCAAAUAAAAUAUGAUCACAACAAAUCCAUGGGAAUAUUAUACGCUGCAUGCAUGCUGUAAUAUCUCAAGGGCUAGUGGUUGAUGGGGGUGGAGAAAAGAAAGGAAUGGAUGGAAUAGUUGUAGGAAUAUUGAUGCUUGGAAUGGUUGGGAGUGAUGCCGGC
This 236-nucleotide long non-coding RNA is filed under the name Panax ginseng (ginseng). RNAcentral describes it as "long non-coding RNA (PGIN_LNC002425)". Lineage: Eukaryota; Viridiplantae; Streptophyta; Magnoliopsida; Apiales; Araliaceae. The record is from RNAcentral.